RNAcentral lists this ribosomal RNA (331 nucleotides) under uncultured bacterium. RNAcentral's name for it is "bacterial SSU rRNA". It matches the Rfam family "Bacterial small subunit ribosomal RNA", at positions 568 to 898 of the family's 1533-position model. The record is from RNAcentral.
CGCGUAGGUGGUAAUGUAAGCCUGAGGUGGAAUCCCAGGGCUUAACCCUGGAACUGCCUUGGAAACUGCAUUACUUGAGUCAGUGAGGGGAGGGUAGAAUUCCUGGUGUAGCGGUGAAAUGCGUAGAUAUCAGGAGGAAGGCCUGUGGCGAAGGCGGCCCUCUGGUGCUGGACUGACACUGAGGCGCGAAAGCGUGGGGAGCAAACAGGAUUAGAUACCCUGGUAGUCCACGCCCUAAACGGUGGGCACUAGGUGUAGGGCUCGUAAGGGUUCUGUGCCGAAGGGAAACCAUUAAGUCGCCCCGCCUGGGGAGUACGGCCGCAAGGUUGAA